Molecule: ribosomal RNA, 236 nt
Filed under: uncultured bacterium
Lineage: Bacteria
Description: partial 16S ribosomal RNA
Rfam family: Bacterial small subunit ribosomal RNA
Source: RNAcentral
UGAGUAACCUGCCCUUCUCAUCGGAAUAAGCGUUGGAAACGACGUCUAAUGCCGAAUACGACCUCCUUUCGCAUGAUCGGAGGUGGAAAGCUCCGGCGGAGAAGGAUGAACUCGCGGCCUAUCAGCUAGUUGGUGUGGGUAAUGGCCCACCAAGGCGACGACGGGUAGCCGGCCUGAGAGGGUGACCGGCCACACUGGGACUGAGACACGGCCCAGACUCCUACGGGAGCAGNAGU